UAGAAAAUUUUGAAAUAUCUCCCAUUCAAUUAAACUACAUAUCAUAUUUCAACCAUCUGCUCCGCCGGAGAACCACCGUUAAACAACCACCAGACCACCGCCGGAAAACAAAUGAUUAGAAAUCUGCCUUUUCACUCUCAACGUAUCUUAUUGUCAUUUCCCCAUUUCACCACCACUUGUUCCGUUCGUCAGAAACGAUCUCAUGCUGUCCUCUUCGAUCUCUAUCUAUUUUUAUCAACCACUGUCGAACCACAUCUCAAACCACCAAAGCAUCGCUUUGAUCUCUGUACAGCCACUCGUUGCCGAUUUCGCCCUCCGCACCAUGUCUUCGUCACCAUAUCUUGUACACGAUGGCUGAUGCACCACCAGACCAAACGAUUGGCUCCAUCGUAACUUGUCUAGAUCUCCUUUCCCCAGAUCUGAAGAUAACCAUGAGACCUGGUUUCACCGGCCAACGUCACUGUCACCAUAGAAUCGCACUGACUUGGCUAUGAGGUUUAAGAUCUUACCGGAAAUCAUGGAGUCUUUGUUGUUUGUCGGCAUUAGAUCUGGUUUCUUAGGGCAUUACCACUUUCUUUUUUGACAACGAAUCUGAACAAAGCUAUGAAGAUGUACAUGGCUCAAAUGUUGUUUGAUACAUUAGUGUAGGAGGAGAAGAAAAAAUGACCGGAACUGAAUUAUCAGGCGAGUUUGUUUUUCAUUUUUUUGGCGUUUCCUUUACAUCUUUGCUAUGAUUUUACCUCAAAAGAUGAGGUUAUGGCUGUGAAUAAAGACUCAAUAAAAUACUCAUAAAAAUAUGUUACAUAAAUUGUUAAAACGUUUACUGUAACCACUCAAACAAUAAAAGUGAUUUUUUUUAGUCCCGAGUAUUAAUAUAAUUAUGAAAGCCUAUAAACUCUACAUGAUUUACUCAUACAAUAGAUAUGUCUACUUUUGUUUUUUUUUUUUUUUUUUUUUUUUUUUUUUUUUUUUUUUUUUUUUAAAAAAUACAUUUUUUUUUUGAAAAAAAUUGCAGUUUUUUUUAUNUUUUUUUUUUUUUUUUUUUUUUUUUUAUAUAUAUAUCUUAGAAAAAAUACCUAUUUAAUUUGGUUUAAGAUUUUAAAAAAGUUAUGUUUUUAAGAACGUUUUUUUUAUUCAAGUAGUAACAUAAUUCAAAAUUGUUUUUAGAAAAAACAUCAUAAAUGGUCCUUAUGGUUUUCCAAAAUUUGAAGUUUAGUACCUGUGGUUUAGAAACGUCAUAAAUGGUCCUUGUGCUUUUAAAACUUUUGGCGAUUGGUCCUUAUUGCUAACUCUAUUAACUUUUGUCCGUUAACUGAAGGGCGUUUUCGUCAUUUCACACCAUAGUGACCAUUUAUGAUUUUUUCAGUUAUUUUUUUAAUACCCAAAGACAAUCAAAAUCGCCACCAUGAUACCACUGUCCGCGACCAACAUCGAUUGCAUUUCACUGUCCGCCACCCUCUUUUCCUCUGGCAACCACCAUACUUCACCUUCGUCAUCAACUACAUGUGUUCUUAUUUCAAAUUCCAUAGUAAGUUAAACACCAUAAUCAUAUCAAACCAAACCAAACACUAACAUCAAACUUGUUUUCUAGAAAUUGAAAUCAAAAUCAAUUCUUAUUUUAAAAAAAUAAUAACCGAACACCAAAAUAAAAAACAACCAAACGCCAAACCAUGUCAUUCGAUAGCCUUAAAGAUCAUUUUUUGCUCUUAAGCAUUUCUUUUUCUCCUCUACUGAUAACCUAAAGAACAUUUUUCAUAUUUCUCGAAUUUUCUCCAAAAACAAGAUUUCGAAUCUAGGUUAAUUGCUUGAAGUCAAACCCAAUUGAGAGAGAGAGAGAGAGAGAGAGAGAGAGAGAGAGAGAGAGAGAGAGAGAGAGAGAGAGAGAGAGGUUUUUUUUUUAUAUNAGAGAGGAGGAGAGAGAGAGAGAGAGAGAGAGAGAGAAACCUGAAAGCAGACCCAAAACUCGCUAUUUCUUAAAAAAAUUUGGUUUGUGACUGGGAAUCAACCAUGGUAGAACAGAGAGGAUGGGGAGACCGAGGUAUUUUUGGGUUUCUUAAAUCAAUUUUUGUAAUGUCUUUUUUGCAUCUGGGUUAUGAUUUCUGCAAAAAAUAUAUAUAUAUCCGCAAAUAUUUGAUUCUUAGGUUGAAGAAGAAAAAAAAAUGUUUCCUGAAGAUUUUUGGCUUUCGAUUUCUGCAAAAACAAUAUCCUCAAAUCUUCGAUACAUUAGAUUUAUGUUCUUUUUGGUUUCGAUUUCCAAAAAAGAUUGCUCCGGUGAUGUUAGUUCUAGUGAGGGAGAUGGUAGGGAAGAUUGCUUCGGUGAUGGAGGUUUCGAUGAAGGAGAUAGUGGCGAGAUUUGAGAAGGCUAGGGAUUUAGGGAGUGAUAGUUGGAUAUUAGAGAGAGAGAGAGAGAGGGUGGGACCCCCUUUGCAUAUUAUUUUAUUUUAUUUAUUUUUUUAAAUAAGAGAAAACAUCAUAAAUGGUCCAUGUGGUAGUGAAAUGACGGAAAUGCCCUUCAGUUAACGGACAAAACUUAACGGAGUUAGCAAUAAUGAACAAUCGUCAAAAGUUUUGAAAACACAUGGACUAUAUAUGACGUUUCUAAACCACAGGCACUAAACUUCAGAUUUUGGGAAACCACAGGGACCAUUUAUGAUGUUUUUUCUUGUUUUUAAAUGAUAGCUUAUUUUAUUUCCUUAUUUUUAUUAGUUUAUUUUAGAUUUUUUUGAUCUUUUUAUCAUUAUUGCAUUGUAUAUUCUUUAUUUUCUUUAUUAUGGAUCAUACCGGGUGUUUUUUAUGUUGCAUGAGAUAUUUUGUAGGUUAUCGGUGCUUGUUGCGGUUGCAGGUUGAUUGGAGACGGGCUUAGUGGGCUCCCGAGGCAUUAUUGGGCUUGGCGGAAUCAAAGAAGAAGAAUUGGUCUUUGAAAGUUAUUGGCUUGGAUUAUUUGGGCUUGUGAAGAUGGAUCAUAAAUUUCUAAUUUUGGGCUUGGAAAAUCCAUUUUGUGGCUAAAUGAUGAUUGGUGGAUUCAAAUUACAUCAACAAGGAGGGGACCAAAUGAAUCUUUGGUAGUGGAAGGGUGGAGUGGUGGAAGGAAGGACCAAUAGCAUUACAGCAACAUUUGCGCGGGUGGAACUUUCGUAGCGUGGGUACCUGCGCAACUGCCCAAUUUGGGCAUUUUGGUCAUUUGGCACACCAUAACCUUUGAGGAUCAGAUCUAGAGGCUCAUUCACGGUUUUUCCACCAUUGGAGACCUGCAAAAGGCGAUUUGGAGAGCAAAAUACUCAAUUUCUUUCAUCUUUUCAAGUCUUAGGUAGAUUCUUGAUGCAAAUUAAUUAUUGUUCUUCUUACUUUGUUGCCAUGAGUGGCUAAUACUCUUAUUUGGUUGACUUUGGCUGAAAACCAAUGAAUGUUUGUGGGUUUUGAAGGAUUUACGUUGAUUAUCAA
This 3441-nucleotide long non-coding RNA is filed under the name Lactuca sativa (garden lettuce). RNAcentral's name for it is "long non-coding RNA (LSAT_LNC000437)". Lineage: Eukaryota; Viridiplantae; Streptophyta; Magnoliopsida; Asterales; Asteraceae. The record is from RNAcentral.